UCCUUUUUACCUGCCUUGCUAACACCUU
This 28-nucleotide non-coding RNA is filed under the name Rattus norvegicus (Norway rat). The record is from RNAcentral. Lineage: Eukaryota; Metazoa; Chordata; Mammalia; Rodentia; Muridae.